CACUCAUCCAGAGAGGUGGAGGGAUCGGCCCUGUGAAACCUCGGCAACCACAAUCGUGCGAUUGUAGGUGCCAAUUCCGGCAGAAGCAGCCCAACGAGGCGGACUUCUGGGAGAUGAGGG
This 120-nucleotide non-coding RNA is filed under the name Levilinea saccharolytica. RNAcentral's name for it is "SAM-I sequence". It matches the Rfam family "SAM riboswitch aptamer (S box leader)". Rfam says of the family: The SAM riboswitch is found upstream of a number of genes which code for proteins involved in methionine or cysteine biosynthesis in Gram-positive bacteria. The record is from Rfam by way of RNAcentral. Lineage: Bacteria; Bacillati; Chloroflexota; Anaerolineae; Anaerolineales; Anaerolineaceae.